AGGAUGAUUUUUGGACAUUCUGCCUCUUUCUGCUCCCCACCCUCUCCACACCCAUCCUGGUGGGAAAGUCCUGGAAGAUUAAAAAAAUUGGCUUUUAUAAAAUGGCAUCUUAGGGGUCCAAUAAAGACACUAUCCAACUUUUAAGACAACAGGAACAUUCAAGAGGACUCACUCCUUUGCCUUCUGCAAAGCUCUGAAAUUGCAUGGAAAAAGAGGCAAAAACAAAACAAAAAUUCCCCAAGGCAUGCUUGGUAUGGGUUAAGGGAGAGCUGAGAAAGCGAGCGUAAUGGAGGCAACAGCCCAAGUCACACACUGACUGAGUGCAAUGAUGGAUGGCUGCAAAGUGCCACCUGCAUCCCCUGAAAAGCCUCUCCAGGGAAGAGAGAGGGAUGGGAAGGGGCAACCUAAGCGGGAUGGACACUGCCUAAUUUGGGGCAGUUCUGACCACUCUCAGGCUUUCGGGAUCCCAGUGGGGCUGCUGGAAGGACAGCAAACUAUUCCUCUACAACCAUCCUCAGCUGAACACAUCCUAUAACACAGGAUUUCCACAUGCAUUCAAGUAGAUGUGUGGACAUGUCUACAAAAUGUGAGACAAACAGUGGUAGCAUCAAGUUGACAAGUAUGAUACCAGCUACAACAUUUGGGCAAAGUCUGAAAACACUCAAAUAAUUUUAACCUACUGUGAUUCUGUUGAUAACAACAUAGUCCCCAUAAAACUUUGGGAUAGUACAUUAUCAGCACAAAAUGCAAAGCCAUGGCUAUUUUUUCCCUUUUUUUAUCUUCAAUAUGUUGAUUCAUCUGCAAGUUUUUGAAGCUUGGUUUGUAUUCAUUCUCCACAAAUGCUGCUGGCUAUAUAAAGUUUGCCAACAGCAAAUUACGCUUACCUGUAUUCAACUGGAGUAAAUCAAAAGAAAUACCACUUAGUCCUAAUGAAUUCAUUGAGAAUGAAGUCCCACUGCACUCACACUGAGGCUUAUUCUUAAAAACACAUAUACAAAGUAUGAUUCCACAUACUUCCAAUACUACCUGAAUUUUCUCCUGUAUUUUCCAGCUCUUAUUUGCUGCGUUUUUUAGUAACUAAACAUAAAAUUGAUUCACCAGCUUUCACAGUUAUGGACAGAUAAAUAAUUUUUUAUUCUUUUCAGGACUCCAGCACCAUUAACUGAAUGCUUUCUGCUUCCACAUUUUGCCCUUUUCAUUGCCUUAUGAUGACAUCAGCAUGGAAUUAGUUGUGAAUAUCCCUUAGUUGUCCUUUCAGUACUUCUGCUAGUUUUGUUCCUCCAAAGGAGAGGAAUGGAUACUUAAUUACUCAUUUUCUCCCAUCUUCUUCUUUUAUUUUGUUUGUUUUUUUAAGUGGCUUCCUCUAGCAACACUAAGGGACUAAGGGGCUCUUGUUAUGGAAGCAUCCUUAAGACUCCUCUUCAGUUAUAUAUAUCUCCUCCUUAGUAUUUACAGACUUCUCUUGUAAUCCCUUCUAAAGUCAUGGUUAUUGUUUCUUGUUCCAGUCUCACGCCAAAUUGCUGUUUGAUUUUCCAUGUGAAAUUAUUAAAGGAUUAUAUUGUUUAUCUUAUCCUUUAUCUCUCCUGUUUGGUUUCCUACUGGUCAGCUGUGAUGGGAUGGAAAGGAGAAACAUUAUUCAAACUGUUCCUUUAUUACCAUAAAGGCUGUUUAAAAUUAUUACUUGCUAAGUGUAAACGCUGUUGACUCUUUGAAUGUGACAUUUAUUAAAGAAGGCA
Molecule: long non-coding RNA, 1736 nt
Organism: Sceloporus undulatus (fence lizard)
Lineage: Eukaryota; Metazoa; Chordata; Lepidosauria; Squamata; Phrynosomatidae
Exons: 4
Source: RefSeq, a predicted model, not a curated record